AUUGAACGCUGGCGGCAGGCCUAACACAUGCAAGUCGGGCGAGAGGCGGACGGGUGAGUAAUGUAUGGGGAUCUGCCUGAUGGCGGGGGAUAACUACUGGAAACGGUAGCUAAUACCGCAUACCAACCGAUGGACCCAUAUGGGAUUAGCUAGUAGGUGGGGUAAAGGCGCACAUAGGCGAAGAUCUCUAGCUGGUCUGAGAGGAAGACCAGCCACCCUGGGACUGAGACACGUCCCAGACUCCUACGGUAGGCAGCAGUGGGGAAUAUUGCACAAUGGGCGCAAGCCUUAUGCAGCCAUGCCGCGUGUAUGAAGAAGGCCUUAGGGUUGUAAAGUACUUUCAGCGGGGAGGCGUUACCCGCAGAAGAAGCACCGGCUAACUCCGUGCCAGCAGCCGCGGUAAUUC
Molecule: ribosomal RNA, 406 nt
Filed under: uncultured bacterium
Lineage: Bacteria
Description: partial 16S ribosomal RNA
Rfam family: Bacterial small subunit ribosomal RNA
Source: RNAcentral